UACGGGGGGGGCAAGCGUUGUUCGGAAUUACUGGGCGUAAAGGGCUCGUAGGCGGCCAACUAAGUCAUACGUGAAAUCCCUCGGCUUAACCGGGGAACUGCGUCUGAUACUGGAUGGCUUGAGUUCGGGAGAGGGAUGCGGAAUUCCAGGUGUAGCGGUGAAAUGCGUAGAUAUCUGGAGGAACACCGGUGGCGAAGGCGGCAUUCUGGACUGUAACUGACACUGAGGAACGAAAGCCAGGGGAGCAAACGGG
This 253-nucleotide ribosomal RNA is filed under the name uncultured bacterium. RNAcentral's name for it is "partial 16S ribosomal RNA". It matches the Rfam family "Bacterial small subunit ribosomal RNA", at positions 524 to 776 of the family's 1533-position model. The record is from RNAcentral.